Molecule: long non-coding RNA, 2966 nt
Organism: Dinoponera quadriceps
Lineage: Eukaryota; Metazoa; Arthropoda; Insecta; Hymenoptera; Formicidae
Exons: 4
Source: RefSeq, a predicted model, not a curated record
CCUAAAAUAUACCGCAAUGUCUCGGUCGCGAGGGUGACGGCUGGUUUGAUUUGCAUCACGCGUCUAAAAUCGAGCUCUGCAUCGAUUGCAAAUCGUCUCAACGUACCUCGAGUCUCGGGCAAGACAACGGGAUAAUCGUGAUAAAAACACAGGAUGUCGCGAUCAGAUUACAGAAUCCUGUCGGGAGCAUUAUGAGUAUGCGUUUGUCUGGUGAGUCGCGUCUGGUCCACUACGUAUGCACCUAUACGUUGUCUUAUGUAUAUCGCCGACUUGGUCAGCAGCAAGCGACAGAUUUAAUUUUAAUACUACUUUAACAAUCUACCCAGCAAACACGAUGACGUCGUUAUAUUUUGGCGCUGAAACAGCGAGGACGGAAAUUUCAGAUCAUCGGACUUAAAAAUUAAAGAUCUAACAUAGAGCCGAAAUUUCGACGCGCGGGGAAUGUACGGCUAAUCGUUCAAAUGAAACUCGUCCCAAACGAUAAAACCCAGCCAGCACAAAUUUCCAAAAGACGUCUAAAAGGCAUGCUUUUCACAUUUUUCGGACGUUUUCAAGACGUCUUUCAGAAAUUCAUGCUUAUCCGAGACAUUUUUUCGCCAUCAUCAUAGCAUAGUCUCUCGGUUUUCAAUUAGUUGAACCCGUUAAGAGACUCUAUAAUCUGGAUCGCAGAAGUGACCUUCCGCAGGUGCUCAAAAGGAGAUAAAUACCCAGAUCGAGUACGGCACGCGUAUACGCUAAUGUUUGAGUGAUAUUGACACAGGUGUUGACAGGUGUCGAAACGAAGAUCUAAAAUGUAUCCAGUGUUGUUGAACAUAUGUUUAUUUCGUGUCUCUAUAAAACAGACAUAGUUUCAACAUGGGUGAGUUUCGAGCAAGGUCUGUCAAGAGCCGAGUUACUCUUUGGGAAAGAUAUAUUCGAGCAUCGUUCGACUUGGAGUAUCUGGUAAAUAAAAACCAUUCCUUUUUUUCAUCACCACCACACUCUCUGUCAUGUGUUCUUUAGAUAACAUUUAGAUAACAAGACGAUUGUCUCGCAUUUUUAUUUUAUAACUGCAACUUGUUUUGCCGAACAAGUCCGGCAAGACGAAAGAUACGAAUAUAUACCUCUGAGCGGCUUGUUUAUUAAAUAUAUACUUGUUAGGUGUCAUUUCUGUCUGGCAUUCCUAUCUCGAUAUCGCUGCGACAUACAUUGAAUUUUAUAUUCGCUAUCGCCGCAAAGUCCUCCGAAUUUUUACAACGUUAUCUCGUCGAUAUAAAAUCACGUUAUGUUGCACUGUCGACAUAUUUUAGAAAGAAAAUUUUCUAGCAUAAACUGUUGUAAAUUAAAUUUUUGAGUUCAAACUCAUAGGCGUGUCGAAUUAUUCAAAAGAAAAGUGCGUAAAAUAUUGGACGACAGGAACAGCUUAUGAUUACACGUCUCCGAUUUACCCCAUUUGCUCGAUUGAGAGUUCGCAUCGCGGCGCAGAUGUUCGCAUUAUGACGAGCAAAAGUGCCUGAAUCUUAUUACUCACAUUUCGGCAUAGCGUCAGGCAUCUAGCGACCUGCAGAGCUUCUUGAAAAAUGAACCCAUGAACGGUAAUCACAUAAAAAAAUAGCGCGAAUAUGAACAACAUCCUGUCAAUUCUGUCCGCGAUUAUGUGGCUGAGUGCGAGGUAUUUGGAACGGUGAUCGUAACACAUAUUACUUCUUCAUUUCUAACUCACUCAUGAUUUCCCUCGCGUCCGGCCGACUGUUGACUUGAAACUGUAAAACGAGUUAUUCGAGUCGAAUAUCAACAACCUAUUUAUUUAAAAUCGUGCAAACGAUAUUCAACCGGAGAUAACAAAUACGCUCGGUGAUAAGCACGGUGAUAAGCACGUGAAACUAGUUUUUGCAAUGUUAUUUUAAGCUUUUGUUUUACGAUGACACGAAUAUAUUGUUUCGUAUGUGGUGACGUAUUUAAAAAUACAGAUUAAUUUCUUUUAAAUGUGCGCGUCCGGUCGCAAAACCGCGACACGUGUUCGGCACGUACUCAAAACGGCACUCGCACGAUCAUUAACGCAAAAUUAAAGUACUCGCAAAGCUUACGUACGUGACGCAAAUGAAUCCACAUUUGAAGAAGCUCGAGUGCUGUUUCAACGCGUAUUACGACAGCCCCCUACCACAUACAGCUACACCUUAUAUGUUAAUAAAAGGUGGGAUUUGCUCCCACUUUUCUCUCCUCUUCGCAUUCUCCAGCAUUUCGUGGGGAAACAAAAGCAGCAUUCGACGUGAUUGUAUAAUGUGUUUAAUUAUAAUUAAUGUAUCAAUCUCAUAAUUUGAGAAUUAUUUCCAAGCAAAUAUUUGCAGCUUCUGCAUCAAGCGUGAAAUACUUGAAACACUCUUGAGCUCUGCAAGAACUUACAAACCGUACUUCGGUCACCUUUAGAUAUUCAAUCUGCAAUAUGGUAAUCUGGUGACGUGAGAAAUGGAUUGAUAUUUCAAGCUUGUACUAAGGCAUCAAUUAAAACUGAUUGAUGAGUUUACCCUAGCUAUUUACAAGACUUCACAUAUAUAUAUAUAUAUAUAUAUAAUAUGAGAGUUUAUAUAUAUAAAUGAUUGUAUUCUUAUUCUAAAACAUAAACAUUACAGUUUACUUCUAUCGACCGUUUCUUUAUCCAAUCACAUACCUUAAAAAUAAAAUGUACGUCAACAAUAAAACGCAAUGUUUUAAACCAUGAUAUAAAGUUUAUUUUCUAGAAACUCUUUACGCAACAUGGGAAAAAGAUUGAAUGCUUCUUACUUAUUGUGCCACAUAUGAAUGAGGUAUUCUGAUAUCUGCAACUGCAAAGUGACACAUUUACUGGACUGUGUGAUCAUCAAUGUAGGAGGAAUAUAGUAUGUCAUUAUCUCAAUCCAAUAACGAAGAUAGUGUUAAAUAAAUUUCGAGUGACAAUUUUCCAUUCCUCAUUUCGAAUAAUUUGCAUUUAUAUAAUGGAAGAGGAACAC